CGGGGUGUCGUAUAAUGGUAGUACGCUUGCUUUGGGAGCAUGUAGCUCAGGUUCGAUUCCUGGCACCCCGACCA
Molecule: transfer RNA, 74 nt
Filed under: bacterium
Lineage: Bacteria
Description: tRNA-Pro
Rfam family: tRNA
About the family: Transfer RNA (tRNA) molecules are approximately 80 nucleotides in length. Their secondary structure includes four short double-helical elements and three loops (D, anti-codon, and T loops).
Source: RNAcentral